UAAAAGUGCUGCAAGGCACUGGUAGAGGAUGGACUUAUGGCGCAUUAGCUGGUUGGUGAGGUAACGGCUCACCAAGGCGACGAUGCGUAGCCGACCUGAGAGGGUGACCGGCCACACUGGGACUGAGACACGGCCCAGACUCCUACGGGAGGCAGCAGUAGGGAAUUUUCGGCAAUGGGGGGAACCCUGACCGAGCAACGCCGCGUGAAGGAAGAAGGAAUUCGUUCUGUAAACUUCUGUUAUAAAGGAAGAAAGACGGAUGGAGGAAAUGACAUCCGAGUGACGGUACUUUAUGAGAAAGCCACGGCUAACUACGUGCCAGCAGCCGCGGUAAUACGUAGGUGGCAAGCGUUAUCCGGAAUUAUUGGGCGUAAAGAGGGAGCAGGCGGCAGCAAAGGUCUGUGGUGAAAGACUGAAGCUUAACUUCAGUAAGCCAUAGAAACCGGGCAGCUAGAGUGCAGGAGAGGAUCGUGGAAUUCCAUGUGUAGCGGUGAAAUGCGUAGAUAUAUGGAGGAACACCAGUGGCGAAGGCGACGAUCUGGCCUGCAACUGACGCUCAGUCCCGAAAGCGUGGGGAGCAAAUAGGAUUAGAUACCCUAGUAGUCCACGCCGUAAACGAUGAGUACUAAGUGUUGGAAGU
Molecule: ribosomal RNA, 640 nt
Filed under: uncultured bacterium
Lineage: Bacteria
Description: bacterial SSU rRNA
Rfam family: Bacterial small subunit ribosomal RNA
Source: RNAcentral